GACGAACGCUGGCGGCGUGCUUAACACAUGCAAGUCGAACGGAAAGGCCCUGCUUGCAGGGUACUCGAGUGGCGAACGGGUGAGUAACACGUGGGUGAUCUGCCCUGCACUUCGGGAUAAGCCUGGGAAACUGGGUCUAAUACCGGAUAGGAGCCAUUUUUAGUGUGAUGGUUGGAAAGUUUUUUCGGUGUAGGAUGAGCUCGCGGCCUAUCAGCUUGUUGGUGGGGUAAUGGCCUACCAAGGCGGCGACGGGUAGCCGGCCUGAGAGGGUGGACGGCCACAUUGGGACUGAGAUACGGCCCAGACUCCUACGGGAGGCAGCAGUGGGGAAUAUUGCACAAUGGGCGCAAGCCUGAUGCAGCGACGCCGCGUGGGGGAUGUCGGCCUUCGGGUUGUAAACUCCUUUCGCUAGGGACGAAGCUUUUUGUGACGGUACCUAGAUAAGAAGCACCGGCUAACUACGUG
This 465-nucleotide ribosomal RNA is filed under the name uncultured bacterium. RNAcentral's name for it is "partial 16S ribosomal RNA". It matches the Rfam family "Bacterial small subunit ribosomal RNA", at positions 28 to 507 of the family's 1533-position model. The record is from RNAcentral.